RNAcentral lists this ribosomal RNA (503 nucleotides) under uncultured bacterium. RNAcentral describes it as "partial 16S ribosomal RNA". It matches the Rfam family "Bacterial small subunit ribosomal RNA", at positions 30 to 523 of the family's 1533-position model. The record is from RNAcentral.
AUUGAACGCUGGCGGCAGGCUUAACACAUGCAAGUCGAGCGGGGUGAUGGUGCUUGCACUAUCACUUAGCGGCGGACGGGUGAGUAAUGCUUAGGAAUCUGCCUAUUAGUGGGGGACAACAUCUCGAAAGGGAUGCUAAUACCGCAUACGUCCUACGGGAGAAAGCAGGGGAUCACUUGUGACCUUGUGCUAAUAGAUGAGCCUAAGUCGGAUUAGCUAGUUGGUGGGGUAAAGGCCUGCCAAGGCGACGAUCUGUAGCGGGUCUGAGAGGAUGAUCCGCCACACUGGGACUGAGACACGGCCCAGACUCCUACGGGAGGCAGCAGUGGGGGAUAUUGGACAAUGGGGGGAACCCUGAUCCAGCCAUGCCGCGUGUGUGAAGAAGGCCUUAUGGUUGUAAAGCACUUUAAGCGAGGAGGAGGCUUACCUAGUUAAUACCUGGGAUAAGUGGACGUUACUCGCAGAAUAAGCACCGGCUAACUCUGUGCCAGCCGCCGCAGUAA